Molecule: long non-coding RNA, 697 nt
Organism: Suricata suricatta (meerkat)
Lineage: Eukaryota; Metazoa; Chordata; Mammalia; Carnivora; Herpestidae
Exons: 2
Source: RefSeq, a predicted model, not a curated record
GCCGGCGCCUUCCCCUUUAAGUACAGGGGAAGGCUGGAUCGGACCUGCGUCCUUACAGUACCACACGUCCACUACAUAUGUCAUCAAAGAACAUGCAAAGACCCGUCGGCAUGCUGCCCUUGAGUUCCUGCUAAGCAGAGAAGAUUCCAAGGGAGUAACUACUCGGCCCCAUGGGAGUUCGUGAAAUGUGAAAUUGGAGGUCGGUGACAGCGUAAACAAUCUGAAAAUAGCUCUUGUGAAAAAUCUGCUCUGCUGUGUAGAACCCAUUUCUGCUACAGCUGGUUGAGACCUUCCAUGGAUCCCAGAUCCCUCCCACUGAGACUAGCGGGAGGUGAGAAGAAAUGUGGAUUUAGCUCUUGCACCUGACUUGGAAACACCAAAUUUGGAUACAAGUAAUUCUUUGUUGGCUUUUUUUUUUUUUUUAAUCCCAGGGUGUUUUUCUAUGCCUCUGAGAGGACAGAAAAAGAUAAGAUACUCUUACCUUUGUUUUAUUGAUGGAGAAAGCAAGGCACAGCGAAACUGUCAGCUUGACCCAUUUGGAAAAUGCUACUUGAUAAGUCAGUAACAGCACUUAGGAUUCUGGAACCUAUAGCAUGGCCCAACCACUUGCUUAUGUGCCUGACACAGUGCCUGGCACAUAACACAUAGGCGUACAAUAAAUGUUGAACGAAUGAAUAAAUGAAUGAAAUCAACUAAA